This is a long non-coding RNA of Chenopodium quinoa (quinoa), 821 nucleotides long. RefSeq lists it as uncharacterized. The transcript is spliced from 2 exons. NCBI's taxonomy places the organism in Eukaryota, Viridiplantae, Streptophyta, Magnoliopsida, Caryophyllales, Amaranthaceae. The record is from RefSeq and is a predicted model, not a curated record.
ACAAAUCAGUGGCUGCCACUUGUCAAGCAAUGGAAGGUUGGUUAAAAUAUAUUGUCGUUGCUUGUCUUCGCCACUUUGUUGUUAUGUCAGAAGAUUAAUUUUUUUCCUUUUUUUUAAUUUAACAAAACGUCACCGUUUGCAUUGUAUUUUUGCUUGAAACGCUGUUUUUAGUCAUCCUCUUGGAACGGUAGACGAGGUUCACUUUCCUUCAACAGAAGAGGAUUCAUGAGCAUCCUCCUCCCCUCAAGGAUCCUCAAUAAUUCCCAGCAUCAAAGAGGAUAUGUCCACCUAAGCAAAAACCACCUUCAAGAGGAUAGAUAUCCUCUCCAAUAUUCAUGCUCUUAACUCCCAAUAGCCGUUUAUGGCUUCUUCUUUCUCUUCAAAAAUUUCCUCUUUCUCUUUCUCUCUCCCUCUCUCCUACUCAGAUUUGGUUUAAAGCUUCUCCAUUGCUCUAACCCUAACUCCAAUAAACACUACCUCCUCUCCAUCACCUUCUCUACUUGCAAAUCAUCCAUCUCGUUCUCAGUCAAAACAACCUUAAUUUGGAGCUUCAACAAUGGCAAGACAACAAGCAACUAAGACAACUCAUCGAAUUCUCUCUCCCCUGACAACUAUGGCUCCUAAUUUUCGUCAAGCAAAUUAAUCGGAUAUAAAGGAGAACAAAUUCUUAAAGAUCAUGGAUUCAUUUUCAAGUAUAUCAUGUUCUUCGUUUUUGCAUUUGAAUUAUAUCAAAAGUACUUAAGAUGUAACUAAUUAAAUACAAAGUGGAUUUUAAAGUUUGUUUUGAUUUGGUAUUCCGUAUUUUACUUUGACAAUUUCAA